AUGUUUUUGCAUUUCUGUGUUCUUCCGCUCCUCCGUUCUUCUCCAUUCUCUUCUCCUCCUUUCUGGGUUUCCUCGCGUGGGUGGCAUUUUUCUAGGGUUUUGUUCCCUUUUCUGCCUUGGCAUCGCUUGUUAAAACCCUUUUCCUUUCUUCUUUCUCCAGCUAUUUAUCCGCAUCAUGGUGCGCCCGAAAUCAAAGUCCG
RNAcentral lists this long non-coding RNA (200 nucleotides) under Phaseolus vulgaris (common bean). RNAcentral's name for it is "long non-coding RNA (PVUL_LNC002186)". Lineage: Eukaryota; Viridiplantae; Streptophyta; Magnoliopsida; Fabales; Fabaceae. The record is from RNAcentral.